This 1765-nucleotide ribosomal RNA is filed under the name Campylobacter jejuni. Its description in RNAcentral is "partial 23S ribosomal RNA". It matches the Rfam family "Bacterial large subunit ribosomal RNA", at positions 1 to 1786 of the family's 2925-position model. Lineage: Bacteria; Pseudomonadati; Campylobacterota; Epsilonproteobacteria; Campylobacterales; Campylobacteraceae. The record is from RNAcentral.
AGGUAAGCUACUAAGAGCGAAUGGUGGAUGCCUUGACUGGUAAAGGCGAUGAAGGACGUACUAGACUGCGAUAAGCUACGGGGAGCUGUCAAGAAGCUUUGAUCCGUAGAUUUCCGAAUGGGGCAACCCAAUGUAUAGAGAUAUACAUUACCUAUAUAGGAGCGAACGAGGGGAAUUGAAACAUCUUAGUACCCUCAGGAAAAGAAAUCAAUAGAGAUUGCGUCAGUAGCGGCGAGCGAAAGCGCAAGAGGGCAAACCCAGUGCUUGCACUGGGGGUUGUAGGACUGCAAUGUGCAAGAGGUAAGUUUAGCAGAACAUUCUGGAAAGUAUAGCCAUAGAGGGUGAUAGUCCCGUAUGCGAAAAACAAACCUUAGCUAGCAGUAUCCUGAGUAGGGCGGGACACGAGGAAUCCUGUCUGAAUCCGGGUCGACCACGAUCCAACCCUAAAUACUAAUACCAGAUCGAUAGUGCACAAGUACCGUGAGGGAAAGGUGAAAAGAACUGAGGUGAUCAGAGUGAAAUAGAACCUGAAACCAUUUGCUUACAAUCAUUCAGAGCCCUAUGUAGCAAUACAGGGUGAUGGACUGCCUUUUGCAUAAUGAGCCUGCGAGUUGUGGUGUCUGGCAAGGUUAAGCAAACGCGAAGCCGUAGCGAAAGCGAGUCUGAAUAGGGCGCUUAGUCAGAUGCUGCAGACCCGAAACGAAGUGAUCUAUCCAUGAGCAAGUUGAAGCUAGUGUAAGAACUAGUGGAGGACUGAACCCAUAGGCGUUGAAAAGCCCCGGGAUGACUUGUGGAUAGGGGUGAAAGGCCAAUCAAACUUCGUGAUAGCUGGUUCUCUCCGAAAUAUAUUUAGGUAUAGCGUUGUGUCGUAAUAUAAGGGGGUAGAGCACUGAAUGGGCUAGGGCAUACACCAAUGUACCAAACCCUAUCAAACUCCGAAUACCUUAUAUGUAAUCACAGCAGUCAGGCGGCGAGUGAUAAAAUCCGUCGUCAAGAGGGAAACAACCCAGACUACCAGCUAAGGUCCCUAAGUCUUACUUAAGUGGAAAACGAUGUGAAGUUACUUAAACAACCAGGAGGUUGGCUUAGAAGCAGCCAUCCUUUAAAGAAAGCGUAAUAGCUCACUGGUCUAGUGAUUUUGCGCGGAAAAUAUAACGGGGCUAAAGUAAGUACCGAAGCUGUAGACUUAGUUUACUAAGUGGUAGGAGAGCGUUCUAUUUGCGUCGAAGGUAUACCGGUAAGGAGUGCUGGAGCGAAUAGAAGUGAGCAUGCAGGCAUGAGUAGCGAUAAUUAAUGUGAGAAUCAUUAACGCCGUAAACCCAAGGUUUCCUACGCGAUGCUCGUCAUCGUAGGGUUAGUCGGGUCCUAAGUCGAGUCCGAAAGGGGUAGACGAUGGCAAAUUGGUUAAUAUUCCAAUACCAACAUUAGUGUGCGAUGGAAGGACGCUUAGGGCUAAGGGGGCUAGCGGAUGGAAGUGCUAGUCUAAGGUCGUAGGAGGUUAUACAGGCAAAUCCGUAUAACAAUACUCCGAGAACUGAAAGGCUUUUUGAAGUCUUCGGAUGGAUAGAAGAACCCCUGAUGCCGUCGAGCCAAGAAAAGUUUCUAAGUUUAGCUAAUGUUGCCCGUACCGUAAACCGACACAGGUGGGUGGGAUGAGUAUUCUAAGGCGCGUGGAAGAACUCUCUUUAAGGAACUCUGCAAAAUAGCACCGUAUCUUCGGUAUAAGGUGUGGUUAGCUUUGUAUUAGGAUUUACUCCGAAAGCAA